AAAGAUCAUUUUUCUUAGAAGAGAAAACUGAAGAAAAAUAAGAGUUUGGGAUCAGCAAAGUUGGAAUCAAAAUAUUCUUGCUGAUAAUCCACCCAACAGAGAAUUCGGAUGUAAUACAAUUGGCCAUGAUUUUGGGAGCCACUGUCAUCACUCUACUUUCCCUUGCUGGUAUAUUUAGGCUGCUAGGUGAGCCCAAGCAUGAUGGACUUUGGCAAUCUGCAUGUCUUUGGAAUCAGACUUCUCUUACCUGUAAGCACUAUUCUGAAUCAUGGAAUUAUAGCCUCACAGAACUUAAAGGACUAUUUGCUCCAACUCUUUAGUUUUGCAGAUGAGGAAACUGCUGCUCAUGGACCCCUUGAUAUUUAGAUAAGGGAGUAACUUUAACAAUGC
RNAcentral lists this long non-coding RNA (390 nucleotides) under Phascolarctos cinereus (koala). Its description in RNAcentral is "lncRNA (ENSPCIG00000012157.2)". The record is from RNAcentral. Lineage: Eukaryota; Metazoa; Chordata; Mammalia; Diprotodontia; Phascolarctidae.